GCCGCUCAGAACUUAAGGAAUUGACGGGACCCGCACAAGCGGUGGAUGAUGUGGAUUAAUUCGAUGCAACGCGAAAACCUUACCUACCCUUGACAUGUACGGAACCCUGCUGAGAGGUGGGGGUGCUCGAAAGAGAGCCGUAACACAGGUGCUGCAUGGCUGUCGUCAGCUCGUGUCGUGAGAUGUUGGGUUAAGUCCCGCAACGAGCGCAACCCUUGCUUCCAGUUGCCAUCAUUAAGUUGGGAACUCUGGAGGGACUGCCGGCGCCAAGCCGGAGGAAGGUGGGGACGACGUCAAGUCAUCAUGGCCUUUAUGGCUGGGGCUACACACGUACUACAAUGGCGUCUACAAAGGGCUGCGAAGCGGCGACGUGGAGCAAAUCUCAAAAAGGACGCCUCAGUUCGGAUUGGAGUCUGCAACUCGACUCCAUGAAGUUGGAAUCGCUAGUAAUCGCGGAUCAGAACGCCGCGGUGAAUACGUUCCCGGGCCUU
This 491-nucleotide ribosomal RNA is filed under the name uncultured Pseudobdellovibrionaceae bacterium. Its description in RNAcentral is "bacterial SSU rRNA". It matches the Rfam family "Bacterial small subunit ribosomal RNA", at positions 904 to 1382 of the family's 1533-position model. The record is from RNAcentral. Lineage: Bacteria; Pseudomonadati; Bdellovibrionota; Bdellovibrionia; Bdellovibrionales; Pseudobdellovibrionaceae.